Molecule: ribosomal RNA, 520 nt
Filed under: uncultured bacterium
Lineage: Bacteria
Description: bacterial SSU rRNA
Rfam family: Bacterial small subunit ribosomal RNA
Source: RNAcentral
GACGAACGCUGGCGGCGUGCCUAACACAUGCAAGUGGAGCGACGAACCAGACUUCGGUCUGGGGCCAAGCCGCGAACGGGUGAGUAACACGUGGGUAACCUGCCCCGAUGAUCGGGACGAACCCGGGGAAACCCGGGCGUAAUACCGAAUGUGGUCGCGGUCCGUGAGGACUGUGACGAAAGGAAGCUUCGGCCUCCGCAUCGGGAGUGGGCCCGCGGCCCAUUAGCUUGUUGGUGGGGUAAGUGGCCUACCAAGGCAUCGAUGGGUAGCUGGUCCGAGAGGACGAUCAGCCACACUGGGACUGAGACACGGCCCAGACUCCUACGGGAGGCAGCAGUGGGGAAUCUUGCGCAAUGCGCGAAAGCGUGACGCAGCAACGCCGCGUGGGGGAAGAAGGCUUUCGGGUCGUAACCCUUCAGUUGGACGAAGCUUCGCCGGUGAAUAGCCGGCCGGAGUGACGGUACCUUCACAAGAAGCCCCGGCUAACUACGUGCCAGCAGCCGCGGUAAGGCACGACUGU